This 501-nucleotide ribosomal RNA is filed under the name uncultured bacterium. Its description in RNAcentral is "bacterial SSU rRNA". It matches the Rfam family "Bacterial small subunit ribosomal RNA", at positions 15 to 507 of the family's 1533-position model. The record is from RNAcentral.
GAUCCUGGCUCGAGGAUGAACGCUGGCGGCGUGCCUAAUACAUGCAAGUCGAACGAGGCGAGAUCCAGACUUGCUGGAUUAGCGAGUGGCGAACGGGUGAGUAAUACGUAAGCAACCUGCCUACACGGACUGGGAUAACACCUGGAAACGGGCGCUAAUACCGGAUAGGUAAUAAGAAGGCAUCUUCUUAUUAUUAAAGGUUUGAAACACAAGUAGAUGGGCUUACGGUGCAUUAGCUAGUUGGUGAGGUAACGGCCCACCAAGGCGAUGAUGCAUAGCCGGCCUGAGAGGGUGAACGGCCACAUUGGGACUGAGACACGGCCCAGACUCCUACGGGAGGCAGCAGUAGGGAAUUUUCGGCAAUGGGCGCAAGCCUGACCGAGCAACGCCGCGUGAGUGAUGAAGGUUUUCGGAUCGUAAAGCUCUGUUGUAAGGGAAGAAUGGCGCGGAUAGACUCCGCGAUUGACGGUACCUUACCAGAAAGCCACGGCUAACUACGUG